CGCUUAUGGGUGCCGCCAUCAUUGAUUUCCAUGUGCGUCGCUGUCUUUCGCAUACACCGCGUGUGAAACUGAUCUUCCGUAGCACAAUCCUAGCAAAAGGCGGCUGCUGCUAGUAGCGAACGAUGGCGGACGAGGCCGGCGGCGGAGGAAACUCAGACUCUGACUUCGAGGACAUGGAUGACGGAGACAUCGAGGACGACGACAUGUCGGACGAAGGAGACGCGGGCACCGGUGUUGCAGCUGCCGGCGCAACAGAUCGUCGCGUUUACGUGCCUGGUACCACCACUGCGAACGAAGACGGCGAGGAACUUGAGUGCGAUCAGUCGGCCUACGUCGUCUAUCACCAGGCCACCACAAUUGCACCAUGUCUGAGCUUCGACAUCAUCAAGGACACCCUGGGGGACGACCGGGCCGACCACUUCCCACUGACUUGCUACCUUACCUCUGGCACCCAGGCCGAGCGAUCGCACUUGAAUCACCUCAUGGUGAUGAAGAUGAGCAACCUGAGUCGAAAUAAGGAGGCAUCGCAAAAGGACGCUGGCGACGACGAGGACAGCUCAGACAGUGAUGACGAAGACUCUAAACCAGAGCUCGAAACGGCUCUGGUCCCACACAACGGCUGUGUCAACCGUGUCAGGGUUGCGAGAGUCGGCGACAGGACCCUAGCAGCAUCGUGGUCGGAAAACCGUCGUGUCUACCUGUGGGACCUUGCUCGGCCAUUGCACGUGCUCGACCAUCCUUCGGCCAUGUCGUCAUAUGUGCGCAACCAUGAGGCUCCCAAGCCCAUCUUCAAUUUUGGAGGUCACCUAGCCGAGGGCUACGCUGUUGACUGGUCACCAACUAAACCCGGUGUGCUGGCGACGGGCGAUUGCCUCAAGAGCAUCCACCUGUGGAAGCCACAGGAAGGCAGCUGGCAUGUUGACCAGCGGCCCUACACGGCGCACACAGCAUCAGUUGAAGACAUUCAAUGGUCUCCCAACGAAGCCACGGUCAUGGCAUCGUGUUCGGUCGACAAGUCCAUAAGAGUGUGGGACGUGCGCGCGGCACCCCACAAAGCAUGCAUGCUCACGGCAGCGGAUGCCCACGAAGCCGAUGUCAACGUCAUUAGCUGGAAUCGACGAGAGCCUUUCCUCCUGUCUGGUGGCGAUGACGGUGCCAUUAAGGUCUGGGACCUGCGGACUUUUCAGGGUGGACGCCCCGUCGCCACCUUCAAGCACCACCUCGCUCCGAUCACAUCCGUCGAGUGGCAUCCGACAGACAGCACGGUCUUCUGCGCCAGCGGGAGCGACGACCAGCUCACCCUGUGGGACCUGGCCGUCGAGCGGGACCGCGACGCGGAAGGUGCCGCCGGGGACCAGGACAACGACGACGAGGUGUUGCAGGGACUGCCCCCACAGUUACUCUUCAUCCACCAGGGGCAGAAGGACAUAAAGGAAGCACACUGGCAUCCGCAGAUGCCCGGGCUGAUUCUUAGCACAGCGCAGAACGGCUUCAACGUGUUCCGGACUAUCAGUGUGUGAGAAGAUGUCACCAAGUGCAGUGCAGACUGCCUCACGGACUAGCUGGCAGCGACAAGUCGGAUGGUCUUGUCGUUCAUCUGGUAUAGCUACAUUGCGGUCAAUGUGUUACGUACGCCGAGCCCCAUGAUGCCUGCUUCAAGACUGUACAACUUGGCUUUCCUGAUGCUACCUUCUCCGAUAUAAGUUAACGUGCGAAUGAUUCGUAAGAUUAUCAUUGUAAUAAAUGGAGUUAGAUGGUGCAGUCCAAAUUUCCACUGGCAAAGAAUACUGUAUAAUCUUGUGUAAGGGCCACAACCUUUUUUUUUUUUGUGAAUUUGGGGCCGAAUAUUUUGGGUGUGGCACUUUCUUGAGUAGAAAUUUAAAGAGUGUGUAUUUAGUACUUAGAAAAACUGACGUGCGUGCUGCUGUGUGCAGCAGCCUUGGGGAGCCUUAACUUUAGCUUCAUUUGCUACCCCAUUUGUCAUGGUUGACACAAAACCACAGUGCUUCAACAAUUGAAAUCUGGUUCACUGCAAGUGCACUAUUACAAGAUGAAGAUGUCCCUGGACGUCAUGCUGCACAUAAGGUUGCGUGACGAAAAAUUAUUGCGAGGCUCUCGCGCAAAAUGCGAACAGAAUAUUUCGGUAAAUAAUGCCCCCCCUAUGUUUCAGGUGGCCCAGGAUCGACGAAAGCUAUCUGCUGAGACGUGAACAGUACGAGUGAAAUGUAGAGCUUGUGCACGACACAGUAAACGGUUUGUACAUGUGUGGCACAAACGUGUACGCUGAGUGUGACAAAACGAGCCAGGUGGCACCGGGAUGUGAAUUGUAUUGGUGCUUAGUUGAUGGACUUCCCUCGAACAGUCAAGUGCAAGAAGAAAUGUAUGCCUUUAUGCACCACAUCAUUACCACGCUGUUUUAAUGUAAACCUUUUCCCUGACGUGGUAUCGGACCUCGCGCCAUGCGUAAAUUUGCACAGCGUAAACAAUCUGAGGUUCUUGUGCAGAUGGAAUGUUGCAUUCGAUGACAUCCGCAUAGUUUUCUGAAGGUGUGGGAGCGAUGGCGCACAGCACGAAGUGCGGAAAGGCUUGGCGUAGACGGUGUGCACAAGGGGAGGCAGUAGUAGUAUACGAAAGGUGGCGUGGGUAGAAAGUGAGAAAGUGCAACGUCACGAUCUGUGGAGCACCGGGAAACAAGUUUUGUGAUGACACCAACAGUGAAGUUAUCGACGUUUGCUCCAAAGGGUUCAACUGCAAUUACAGCGAAAGGGGAGACCGAUAACGAAUAAAUUUCUUUUCUUAAACAUUUAGGCUUAAAUUUAGCGGUGCGGCCCUUACUCAAGAUUAUAAGGUAUACUCUUCAUGUUCAUGACUUCUUAGAGGCAAGAAAUUGCCACCUUAUCGUGUUUAUACUAGGGAAAGAAAUUUAGAGACUGCAUUGCCUACAUGUGACAGUCUGUAGUCAAAUUUCAACUUAAGAAUACUGUUGUGAAUACACUGCUGUCCAACUUGGAGAACUUUUAUAGACGUGUAUUCAGUCACAUCUAUGACAUUGCGGCGAACGCGAGCUCCUUUCUCUAUUGGUGUCCCUUGGGGACCUUGUUUUGGAUUGCGGAAGUGCAGAGGGCAGUAUGAUUUUGUGGGCAGUGCUUGCAAUAAUUUCUUCAGUUCUCAGUAGGGUUGCCAACUCUCGAGUGAACUAAGUCGAGACACAGAAAAGUGUGUGUGAGGGGGGGGGGCUGGCAGUGACCGAUCGUGUCAUUGUCAGGAGCUGUCAAGUUUGUACGUGCAGUAGUUUUUGCAAAAUUUUUUUUUAGUCCUGCAAUGUCGUUACAUGUGACAAGACAGAUGCAGUAGUUGCCUCACCCAGUUACCAGUGCAGUUAUUGUGAACGGUUAGGGCCUAGAACCACACCAAACACGAAACAGCCUUUAUAUUUAUGACAAUGCAACAGAAGACAAAAGAAAAGAAUGUGCAACCGAGCUGUCAGGCUUUAUAAAAAAAGGAAAUCUGGGCUAUUGAUAGCUAUUCAGUAGAAAAAAAUGUCGCAGUUUCUCCCGAAAGACGAAGCAUCGAUUGCGAUAGCAAAUUAGUAGAGAGCUAUUCGGGGUAGGGAUAGUAGUUUUAUCGGCUGCAUAAACUUGGACACAUUGGCUUACUAACUGAAUUAACAAUCAUGGUGUCAGCGCACACAAGCAAACAUGAAUAGAUCACACUGAAUAACCGCAGCCAACGACUGUCAAAACGCUGGCAGCAAGCGCAGGUUCGCGCGGUCUAUCGCUUCAACGGAAACUGAGCGGCGAAUGCACAGCGCAUAGAAAGGUCAGAGCCGUGUGGAGAUAAGAGACGGUGUGGACGACCGGCAUCCCCUGGCAAAGCGCAAAGGAGAAUCUGCCCCCCCCCCCCCCCUCUUCCCGCUUUGUUGCUUUUGCGUGGGAGAUUGAGUGGCAAGAUACGUCUUUGGUGCCGGAGCACAGCGCCGCCCCGCCUCCCUCCCUCCCAUACCCCCACGGUCUUUUGCGCGACGGUCACGUUUGCUUUCCGCCGAGCGUUCGCUUUCCGUGAUAGCGCGCGUGGGGGGGGGGGGGGGGUUCGCCCUCCGUGAUAGCGGGUGUCCCCCGCGCGCUUUCGCUGGCGCAUACGGUGCGCGGCGACGAUUUUAUCGCCAUUGGUAUCUAUACAGAACCUCACGGCGACGCUGACGGCAGAAAUCCAGUUGAAGUGUCCAUAUAAUUGCUAUCGCAAUAAAAAACGGAAAAGUCGGGUCAUUUCGUCGUCCCGAUUGAGUCAAGCCGGAUCGCAGGACGCUCAAAAGUCGGGACAGUUGGCAACUCUAGUUCUCAUAGAGUAUGAGAUACUUCUUUUUAAAAAGACCACAAUAGCCGGAAAAUGUAUUAUGUCUAUCUCGGGCCUGCUGCAAUUUCCGUAAAUGCAAACCAAAUUUUGUGCUGCUGUUUCACAGGCACCAAUCACGGAGGCUGCAAUUUUUGCAUUUGUGGGCACCUAGUGGAAGAUUGAAUUAUUCUUGGGAUUGGCUGAUGCAGUCUGCUUUGGUAAAAACAAAGUAAAACAAACUAUAAACAUUUUCGUCAAACACUUUUCACGUUUGAACGCGUUACUAUAUCAUAACAUAAGCAGGCAGGCCAUUGUUACGUAUCUCAUGAUCACAUUAUCAUUCAUUCCCCAUCCACACUGCAUGUGCGAUUUCAGACGACUUCAGGACCUCUGAACAGUAAAAGAUUGUAUGGACAAAGGAGACGACAAUAGAUUUGCCGCACCUGCGCAUUCCAAUUGCAAAAUUGCACUGUGUGAGACACAGGCCUUACGUGGACAUCGUGUUAGCACCACAGGGAUCGGGAUUUAGUGGCGCUUUUGUAACUGAAACGCACAAGUAAAAGAGCGUAUUGGCGAGGUUCUCUUGUAUAUUUCUAUUUCCUGUAUAAAUGUGCUUCGAUUUGUUAUUCUGUGAGCAGUUGUCUUAGGAAAUCAUCCUCCUUGCUAAUGCUGGGUCAUUGAUUGUAUGUCAACCAUUUAUGGAGCCCUAUCUGCAGAAAUAAAUUAUGAGCUGAACACACCAA
Molecule: RNA transcript, 5075 nt
Organism: Dermacentor silvarum
Lineage: Eukaryota; Metazoa; Arthropoda; Arachnida; Ixodida; Ixodidae
Gene name: glutamate-rich WD repeat-containing protein 1
Exons: 8
Source: RefSeq, a predicted model, not a curated record